Molecule: ribosomal RNA, 425 nt
Filed under: uncultured bacterium
Lineage: Bacteria
Description: bacterial SSU rRNA
Rfam family: Bacterial small subunit ribosomal RNA
Source: RNAcentral
GUGGGGAAUCUUGCGCAAUGGGCGAAAGCCUGACGCAGCCAUGCCGCGUGAAUGAUGAAGGUCUUAGGAUUGUAAAAUUCUUUCACCGGGGACGAUAAUGAUGGUACCCGGAGAAGAAGCCCCGGCUAACUUCGUGCCAGCAGCCGCGGUAAUACGAAGGGGGCUAGCGUUGCUCGGAAUUACUGGGCGUAAAGGGCGCGUAGGCGGACAGUUUAGUCAGAGGUGAAAGCCCAGGGCUCAACCUUGGAAUUGCCUUUGAUACUGGCUGUCUUGAGUACGGGAGAGGUGAGUGGAACUCCGAGUGUAGAGGUGAAAUUCGUAGAUAUUCGGAAGAACACCAGUGGCGAAGGCGACUCACUGGCCCGUUACUGACGCUGAGGCGCGAAAGCGUGGGGAGCAAACAGGAUUAGAAACCCUUGUAGUCC